UUUGCCAAAAUGCACCCUGUGUAAAACUCCCUGCUGGAUUAACGAGCCCACGUCACUCUUUGGACUCGCGCAUUUGCGCACAUGUGCAACUUUGCCAUUUCCUUUUUGCAGUUUGCUGCGGACAUGAGUACAGCAGCUCCUAAAGUUGAACGUCACUUGUAUAAAGCUUCUGUG
Etheostoma cragini (Arkansas darter) is the source of this 174-nucleotide long non-coding RNA. RefSeq lists it as uncharacterized. The transcript is spliced from 3 exons. Lineage: Eukaryota; Metazoa; Chordata; Actinopteri; Perciformes; Percidae. The record is from RefSeq and is a predicted model, not a curated record.